This 163-nucleotide ribosomal RNA is filed under the name uncultured bacterium. RNAcentral's name for it is "partial 16S ribosomal RNA". It matches the Rfam family "Bacterial small subunit ribosomal RNA", at positions 393 to 539 of the family's 1533-position model. The record is from RNAcentral.
AAUGCCGCGUGUGUGAAGAAGGCCUGCGGGUUGUAAAGCACUUUCAGUAGGGAAGAACCAGCAAUCGGCUAAUACCCGAUAGUUCUGACAUUACCUACAGAAGAAGCACCGGCUAACUUCGUGCCAGCCCCCGCGGUGACUGAGCGGGCUGGCAAGGCGCAUA